Molecule: long non-coding RNA, 3019 nt
Organism: Corythoichthys intestinalis (scribbled pipefish)
Lineage: Eukaryota; Metazoa; Chordata; Actinopteri; Syngnathiformes; Syngnathidae
Exons: 3
Source: RefSeq, a predicted model, not a curated record
GCUACGAUGCCGCUGGCAGCUAACGGGAAUACCGUGUGUGGAGAUAACGGAGAAGCGGUUCACUAGGACCGGAGUCGCUCAGCAACGCCCUUAGAUGUACUACUAUGUCACCACUCCAUUAUCAGAUAGACAGCCUCAGGUGCCAAACGUGGCUUAAGCAGUCUCAUGCCAGCAUUCAGAGACUCCACCACCUGUGCAUUGGAUUGAUGCUCAUAAGGAAGCCGGCCCUCUGUGUAUACUUCCCACAUGAGAACACCUGAACAAGGAAACUUGGAGCACAUGGAACUUGUGUACUGGUCAUCAAGAACAUAUCUACAAGGCACAAGAUAGGAAUGGCCAGUGAAAAGAAUACAAUACUGCUGUAAGACAGACUUUGUGUAUCAGUACCUGGUCAUACCAAAAUCAGACAACUUAACCACAUUGCUCUUUGAAACUAGGCAGUUCCUUGCAGCCUAUAAUUGAAAAGACACAAGAUUGGGAAACUUUUAUUUCAAACCACUGAAUAAUAUAUAUAUUUUGGUUAUUUUUACCAGAUCUCUGUGGAUGAAGUUAGAUGUCUCCAGGUAAGCCAUGCCUUCAGUGACAUCCAGACACAUCCCUAACAUUGUGUCAUGGGAUAAGCACCCUUUUUUUGUCCGCAGGUAAUCUGACAAACAGCCGUUCUCCAUAAACUCCAGAACCAAACACAUUGGAGAACUCUGGGUGCAUACACCAUAGAGCUGAACUAGCUUUGAGUGGUAUAAUUUCCUAAUGAAACAUACACAAUUGCAAAUUAUCUCAACUCACUGUAAACUAAAAUUCAAAAUCAAGACGUGUUCUUACAUCAUGAUUUUUGCUUCUUCUUUCAAGUCCUCAUCUGACAUGCUAUCUUCUCUUAUCAUCUUCAAUGCUACUUUCUUCUCCCUCCAUUGUCCCCACAGCACCAUCCCGAAUUGUCCACUACCUAAUUCUUGGCCAAAAGUGAGUUCAUCAGGGUCCACCUCCCUCUCAUCUGUUGAACAACAGUUAUACGUAAAUGAUUUGUAUCGGUAAUUAUUAUAGACCACAUUCUUUUAUUACCUAGUUAUAAAAGUGUAACAAUUUCUUUACUGAGACAACUGUAGACUAUGGACAAUUAUGAACAUUGCACAAGUGGCUUCUUGUUUACAAACAAGACACCCCAUUACUUUGCAGAUACUGCAAUUAUAGACAGUCAAUGGCCUCUUUGACAAGAUGCAGUGCCAUAGACUAUAGUUCUUUUUAGCCUAUAUACUGUACAUCAGCAACAACAUUAAGGCACACUUGCAUGUUUUCAAAUAAUACAGAAUCAGGCAGUAAUAAACAAUAAUGCAAUAUAAACAGAUUAACUUUGUUUUACCACAGUCAAAGGGUUUUAUAAUUUCAAAGAUGAUUCAGUACAAUAGAAUUUAAUAAAAAUAAAAAUUAAAAAAAACCUUGAGAUUGACCAGCAAUCUGAGAGCAGCCACCUGUCUGAGUAACAGGGUGUCUGAGACGUGUUAUCAGACCUGCCAGGUAACACACACACACACAAAUACAUCUUAGAAAAUAAUUUCAUUUCAAAAUAUGAACCAUAAGCAUCAUUACCUGUCCUGCAAAACAGAUGGAAAAAAAAAAUACCUGCAGCAUUGUGUUGGUGGUAAUGGAUCAGCUCGGGAAUGGUGCGAAACAGAUACUUCUCUGCUAAGUAAAACAAAGACUCUGCUGUUUCCGUUUGCCUGAUUUGGUAAUGUUUUACACAUGGUUGUUUCUCCUCAUUAGACCUACAGGUGAUGUGUUCAGGAGAUUCAUUGAAAUUAGUAGUACAUUAUUGUUGUGUAGUAGCAUUAUGGUAAUGGUUAUACCGGUAAACAAGUGGUGAAAUUACCCCGGUGCUUUGGAGAAGACUGACACCGUGUAGACCCCUGUCUGUCUUGAAUUUCGAACCACAAAUGCACCCUCUUUUCCCUUAACAUUAACAGCACACACAAAAACGUUAACAUUAUAGUCGUAAUUCAGGUUUAUCCCAUACUUAGCCUGAAAACAUUAAGAUUAGGUGUUGUUAUGUAACACACAUUUUUACUUCACACACACAGUGAGUCUAAACCAGUAAUUAGGAAGUAAUAGAUACAUAGCCAUGCUUGUAAAACUUCAUACAAAAGCCUCCACUUCUCGCUUUGGUGCAAGUUUAUUUUGCAUAUACUGUAUACAUAAAUAUGCCUUCACUUUACAUCGAUAAAAUGAUAACUCAUGAAGAUAUAAUAACUUCAUUCAUUUUCUUUUUCUUUGUCAUUCAACAACUGCGCACAAAUAGAUAACCGUUACAUUCACAUUCUCACUUUCUGUGGGCAUUGAACAAGACUGUUCUGGUUUGUUUCGUUAAAAAGAGAAAUCAGAGCAGCCUACUACUACUACUACUAUGCUUAUCCAUUCCAAAGAAACGGAUUUUACCAAUAUAUUUUCAUUUAACUCUUGAGGCAUCUUCACUGUCACUUUACAACUAAAUUGAAGAUAAAUGAGGGAGUUUCUGUCCAACCACCUUUGUUGGCAGAGAGCUGCCUGCCUGCAAGGCAUCUGAGCAACUGUUGUUUUCGUUCCAAAAGAUUGAUAUAAUUUAUGUUUUGAGGGUGUGCCUCCAACAUUAAGCAUCAACAGCUGAGUUUCCACACCAAAAUCUAGACUAGCGCAGUCCUAAAUUAGCAUUUGCACAAACUGUUGAAGCAUGCUCAGAUGAAGGACAAAACAAGACAACCAGAACAAUCCAGUUGCGAUCAGUUCAAUGUCGAGAGAAUGAAAUGACUUGGCUGGGUGAGAAUAUUCACAUGAAUCUUCAAAUAAAGGAAAUGUCUGAUAAUUUUACCUCUUUGAAUAACACAUUUUCUGCUUCCCCUCUCGAAAUGUUCUUGUUGUACCAUCUUUGAUAAGGCAAAAGAAAAUAUAGUUUCCAUAUAAAAAGUUUCCAUAUGCACAUACUGUAAUUAAAUACAUUCAUAAGAUCCAUCCAAAAAUAUGCAAUACAAUAUGCAAGCUUGAAAAUAAAUAA